AUAGCUCAGUCUGUCUAUGAACAUCGCAGAGGUAAGCCAGAACCGCUUGCGAGGUGGAGCAGCCGGUGUCGCUCCUGAAACCGCAUUGAGGUGUGAUCGGCUUGUUCUCUCGGCGCCAACACCACGGGUAUCAUGGGUGUGUGACUUGGCAGAGAUCUGGAGCAUGUUGAGACUGACAUGUCUCCAGAGACUCUGAAGUAUUUUAAAAGCCCUCUGUGAUGAUUUUCAAGGAUGAAAAUAAAAAUGAAUGAAUGAAAAUAAAAAUUGAAUAUAUAUUUCUUUACAUG
This is a long non-coding RNA of Scylla paramamosain (green mud crab), 287 nucleotides long. RefSeq lists it as uncharacterized. NCBI's taxonomy places the organism in Eukaryota, Metazoa, Arthropoda, Malacostraca, Decapoda, Portunidae. The transcript is spliced from 3 exons. The record is from RefSeq and is a predicted model, not a curated record.